CCUACGGGGGGCAGCAGUGGGGAAUAUUGCGCAAUGGGCGAAAGCCUGACGCAGCGACGCCGCGUGAGGGAUGAAGGUCUUCGGAUCGUAAACCUCCGUCAGCAGGGAAGAACGGUCACUGUGCUAAUCAGCAGUGAAUUGACGGUACCUGCAAAGGAAGCACCGGCUAACUCCGUGCCAGCAGCCGCGGUAAUACGGAGGGUGCGAGCGUUAAUCGGAAUUACUGGGCGUAAAGCGCUCGUAGGCGGUAUGUCAAGUCAAGGGUGAAAUCCCCGCGCUCAACGUGGGAACUGCCUUUGAAACUGGCAAACUGGAGUGUGUGAGAGGAUAGUGGAAUUCCUGGUGUAGGAGUGAAAUGCGUAGAUAUCUGGAGGAACAUCAGUGGCGAAGGCGACUAUCUGGCACAUAACUGACGCUGAGGAGCGAAAGCGUGGGUAGCAAACAGGAUUAGAUACCCUAGUAGUC
This 465-nucleotide ribosomal RNA is filed under the name uncultured bacterium. Its description in RNAcentral is "partial 16S ribosomal RNA". It matches the Rfam family "Bacterial small subunit ribosomal RNA", at positions 338 to 795 of the family's 1533-position model. The record is from RNAcentral.